GUAGAUGCUCAUUCUGCUUUUUUAUGUCUGCCGCUGGCAACAUAAUCCCUGGAAUGAUGCAGAGCCCUUUACCGAUACCUGUUAUCUGCCAUCUCACAAAUUAUUGAUGAGAGCUUCAGAUAUUACGUUGAGUCUGGUAUCAGCUGUUGUCUGUCGACCUGAUUUUACACCUGCCUGGUUGCAGGUGUUUUUUU
Molecule: small RNA, 194 nt
Filed under: Tatumella morbirosei
Lineage: Bacteria; Pseudomonadati; Pseudomonadota; Gammaproteobacteria; Enterobacterales; Erwiniaceae
Description: GlmZ RNA activator of glmS mRNA
Rfam family: GlmZ RNA activator of glmS mRNA
About the family: This RNA was discovered in E. coli during a large scale screen. The sraJ gene was expressed in early logarithmic phase, but its level decreased with cell growth.
Source: Rfam by way of RNAcentral